This 356-nucleotide transfer-messenger RNA is filed under the name Alphaproteobacteria (a-proteobacteria). RNAcentral describes it as "UBA6503 sp002436405 Standard tmRNA". It matches the Rfam family "transfer-messenger RNA". From Rfam's summary of the family: Bacterial tmRNA, also known as 10Sa RNA or SsrA, is named for its dual tRNA and mRNA-like properties. The record is from RNAcentral. RNAcentral also lists the same sequence under 1 other name. Lineage: Bacteria; Pseudomonadati; Pseudomonadota.
GGGGGCGCCACGGUUUCGACGGGGCCUGAAAGCGACUAAGUGCAUGCCGGCGGCGAUGUCCCUCCGUUAAAAAAACGUCAAUUUUAUAGUUGCAGAAGAUAACUUCGAAUACGCACUAGCUGCCUAAUAACCGGCUAGGUUCUAGAGACUCUCUCUUCCACUAGGGCCCUUUGGAAUUUUUAUUUUUGUGGAAUAGGCUUAAUGCGGCCCACGCAAGCGGCUGAAUUUUCUUCGGGAUCGCCUUAGACUAGUUUGUCGUUAGACAGGUCUAUUGUUAAAUCAAAUAGCGACUAAGCAUGUAGGACUUAUCGUGGAUCAAGUUGCGGACGGGGGUUCGACUCCCCCCGCCUCCACCA